AGUACGGGUUGCAUUUCGAUCCCCCGGUGGCAUCUCCUUUGGAGGUGUCGGCGGCGCUUUCGGUGUAUCUCGUCUAGCGAUGGGACGACGCAUGAGUGGUGAUUAGGAUAUGUUUUCCUAGCAGGCUCCAUGCAUCUUGCGUCGAACUGCUUGGGUAUAUCUAUUUCAUUAGUGGGUUUCCUUGGUCGGUCGCCACUACUUGUUGGGUUCCUGUGCUUGGUACUGAAUUUUGUAGCUGGAUGGAUUGCUCUUCCCCGUCAUGGUUUUUUUAUCCGCCUCCGCUUCGUGCGGCGAUGGUGGAUAUUGUGCGGGCAUCGAGGUUUUCCUCUCGAGCCGUUGUCCCCCUUUGGGUGCUUCCGGUUGAGAUGGCACGUAGAUGCUAACGUCACUCUCGGGUACGGAGAUUUUGUGGUUAUCGCAUUGGCCUUCGGCCUUUGUGAUCGUAAUGUAUGGAAGCUUUCUUUCUUCUGAAUGUAUGACCCUCGUUCUCGUCCGAAGAGUUCACGGAGCGUCUUUGCUUGGUGUUCUUCUCGGGGAGCCAUCGAGGUAUACAAAGGAAUGCUACCUGGUUGAU
This 574-nucleotide unclassified non-coding RNA is filed under the name Miconia ebracteata. RNAcentral's name for it is "Pleiochiton ebracteatum partial contains external transcribed spacer and 18S ribosomal RNA". Lineage: Eukaryota; Viridiplantae; Streptophyta; Magnoliopsida; Myrtales; Melastomataceae. The record is from RNAcentral.